UACGUAGGGCGCAAGCGUUAAUCGGAAUUACUGGGCGUAAAGCGUGCGCAGGCGGUUUUGUAAGACAGAGGUGAAAUCCCCGGGCUCAACCUGGGAACUGCCUUUGUGACUGCAAGGCUUGAGUGCGGCAGAGGGGGAUGGAAUUCCGCGUGUAGCAGUGAAAUGCGUAGAUAUGCGGAGGAACACCGAUGGCGAAGGCAAUCCCCUGGGCCUGCACUGACGCUUAUGCACGAAAGCGUGGGGAGCAAACAGG
This 253-nucleotide ribosomal RNA is filed under the name uncultured bacterium. Its description in RNAcentral is "partial 16S ribosomal RNA". It matches the Rfam family "Bacterial small subunit ribosomal RNA", at positions 524 to 776 of the family's 1533-position model. The record is from RNAcentral.